CUACGUGCAGAAAGCGCCCCGGAAAAUUCUAGCCAUAGGCCAGGUGUACACGAUGGCUGUGCUUGGCAGUCCAGUGCGCGUCACUCUUCUCCUGGUUCUCAUUUUCUGUCUUACUAUUCACAGCGCAUACAGUCAAUGCACCGUAUGCUCUUGGAACAAUUGGGGGCCAUGGAGUUCCUGUUCUCACGCAUGUGGAAACACAGGAACAAGGACCCGUCAUCGCAGUACCAACAACUGUUGCACUACAACGAGCGAGCAAGCGCAAACGGAGCCUUGUAAUCGGUUCUGCAACAACGGCGGCACCCCGUUCGGCAGCCGCUGCAUCUGUACCCCACACUUCACAGGGCUAUGUUGUGACAUCGCCAACUC
Molecule: long non-coding RNA, 369 nt
Organism: Branchiostoma floridae (Florida lancelet)
Lineage: Eukaryota; Metazoa; Chordata; Leptocardii; Amphioxiformes; Branchiostomatidae
Exons: 3
Source: RefSeq, a predicted model, not a curated record